RNAcentral lists this ribosomal RNA (396 nucleotides) under uncultured bacterium. Its description in RNAcentral is "bacterial SSU rRNA". It matches the Rfam family "Bacterial small subunit ribosomal RNA", at positions 958 to 1354 of the family's 1533-position model. The record is from RNAcentral.
AACGAGAAGAACCUUACCAGCUCUUGACAUUUUGUGACAACUCUAGAGAUAGAGCGUUCCCUUCGGGGACAGAAUGACAGGUGGUGCAUGGUUGUCGUCAGCUCGUGUCGUGAGAUGUUGGGUUAAGUCCCGUAACGAGCGCAACCCUUGUUGUUAGUUGCCAGCAUUAAGUUGGGCACUUUAACGAGACUGCCGGUGAUAAACCGGAGGAAGGCGGGGAUGACGUCAAAUCAUCAUGCCCCUUAUGAGCUGGGCUACACACGUGCUACAAUGGAUGGUACAACGAGCAGCGAUCCCGCAAGGGCUAGCUAAUCUUUCAAAGCCAUUCUCAGUUCGGAUUGCACUCUGCAACUCGAGUGCAUGAAGUCGGAAUCGCUAGUAAUCGCGAAUUCAGAA